Long non-coding RNA from Ruditapes philippinarum (Manila clam), 6719 nucleotides. RefSeq lists it as uncharacterized. The transcript is spliced from 2 exons. The record is from RefSeq and is a predicted model, not a curated record. NCBI's taxonomy places the organism in Eukaryota, Metazoa, Mollusca, Bivalvia, Venerida, Veneridae.
AGACAGAAGAUGAAAAAGUGUACCAUAUAUUGUUUAUUUUGUAAAAUAAAUAAAAUUUAUUUACAUUGAAGUGAGGCAUUUUCUAUGUCUCUUGGGUGUUCUAAUGAAUUCAAUAUUUUAACAUGUACCACCCGCUUGGCUCAAUAGUGAGAGCAUCUGGUUAGUAAUCCAGAUGUUGCUAAAUGGAUCCCUGACCAAGGCAGAUUUCUGACAAUUGAAUUUUGGCAUCGAGUGUAAGUCAUUUGUCUUGUCACUGCUAUUGUUAAAAUUUUGGGGAUUAGAAGUCUGUCAUUUGCCAAGAUAUGAUCAAAAAUGUGUUAAAAUCAGCAUUAAAAAAGGGGGGGGGGAAACAAGUACUUAAACAUGUAGUUUUAUCUACUAUACUAUGUGUAAAUUAAAAACUAUUCUCAACUCAUUUUCUUCAGGUUGGAUGUUUCGUAUUCAGAAGAUACAAAUCCAAAAAUAAAAAGAGCAUGAACUUUGAUAAUCCAGUUUAUAGGAAAACCACCACCACAGAUGAUCAUUGUAUAAUUAGAAAUGAUGAACCACAAAUGGAACCAUUAACCUCACAUGAAUGUGUUUGAUGUGAUAGAGACUAGAUAGGAGUAAUUAAUUUUUAAAUCAGUAACUUUCCAUAAAAGUGACGAGAAGAAUUUUUUUAAUAAAAGAUCUGAACUUAUCUCAUCGAAAUAGCUGGUAUAGAUGUGAAAAUCUCUAAAGUGAAUUUGACGGUGACGCUAUUAUGUCUUGCUGUAAACUAUAGUUCAAAGGAAGCAGCUGGACAAGGAUGUUUCAAUGGUUACUUUGUAUAUGCAUAAGAUGCAAUAAAAUGAAUAUAUAUAUAGGGUAGGAACAUUGAGGAAAAGUUUCUUCUUCCGCUUUGUUUAAACUACUGAGUAUGCACCUUUCCAGCACAACAAAUCCAAAGGAUGGCAUAGUGUAAACAAGCUGUUUAGAAGAACUGUUGUUCUCCAAGAGUCAUAGUAAACUGUUAAGAAGAAUUCUAAGAUAAUGAUCAAAUCAUCAUAGUCACCAGCUUAGGUUCUAUCACAACUGUAUGUUCAACAUAUCAGCAUUGCAUGAGGUUUUACAGUAGUCAUUAUGGCUGAUUCUGUGAAGUUUGAAAUUCUGUCCUGAAUGCUCACAUUCCUUUUUGCAAAGUGUUUCCCUGUGCCAAGAGACAUUUUCUUUUCAUAAAUGUUCAUGUGAUAAAUUUAUUUAAUAUUCCACGUGAGUUAAAUAAAGUAAUAGAAGAGUAAAUGUUUUCAAGGUUACAGAAGAUUUCUUCAUAAACUUAAGUGGAUAUGAAUUCCUGUGCAAUCAUGUAAUGUUCUUUUUGUACAGCACUUAAUCAUCAUCAAAAGUUUGCUCAUAUAUUUCUUGGCAGGCCUCCUAGAUUGAAUUGUUUCUAUUUAUCAUAAUAACAUAGGAUGUAUGUUAAUAUAUUCAUGUCUGUCACACCUGACACAUUGUUAUAAAGAUUAUCAUACUUGCACCAAUUGUGUUUACAUGAUAAACUGGUUUAGAACAAAAAUAAAUUAACACCAAAAUUGAUCUGUUGAUAUGUCCCUUUAUGCUUAGCUUCUUUUUAGUUAAGCUUUCGAUUUAUAAAUUCUGCUGUAAUUCAUUACCAUGCAUUUUGCUUAUUUAAAAAGCUUGUACAGUUUUAGGAGGCCUGCUUUUGUAAGACAUACUUUGAAUUGUAACUUGUACUAUAUAUGUGUUGUUAUAUGGAAUGCUUUAGAUAACCAUUCCAAAUUGUUAUUCCUGAAAAGGAACUAAAAGUAAUGUGUAAAUGCUGUUGUAAAAGUUGUAUAUAUUUCUUAUAGUGAAUUCUCGAUUUAAAAUCAGUUAUCAUUACAGUAGCCUCUUGCCUUUAUUAAUUAUCUUGUUUUGCUUGCUGAAGUUUUGUAUAAAAAUCUCAUUAUAUUUUUCUUACUGUUUUUAUUUAUGACAAGACUACAAAAUAGAAUAGCAGAAAUAUUCUCAUAAAGUUUAUUUAUCCUUGCAGUGUGAAUGAAGUAUAAGUUGCUAAAUCCUCCCACAAAAGGUGCUUUUUUAGUGAACAUUUUAAUGUCUUUCAUUCAUUGUCAGUGUAGUAUUUUUUAUCAUAAAAAAGAACAUAACCAUUAAGUUUAUUAUCACCAUUUUGAAUGAUCUUUUUUCUCUUUUUUUGUGCAAGGUUUUUCUUGUAGUAAUUUCGACUUUCAUUAAAAGAUCAAAAAUAGCAAACAUGAGAAUAGCAUUAAGUAACAUAAUGAUAUGACACUAUUGAAUGAUCAUUUAUAUUGUAAAUCGUUUUAAAGGCAUAAUAUAUUGAAUUUGUAUGAGAUGUAACUGGGUAAUAUAAAGUCACUUGAUGUUUUACAAGUGUAAUAUAAUAAUAUACACAGUGCUCCUAACAGUAUACAUUGUACAUGUUUCAUUGCUUGUUACUAGACAGCCGUUCCUCUUUUUAUAUGAUGUAUAUAUAAAAUGUAAGCACUAACUGUAUAAAAUCAAUUACAAAUGCAACAUCUGGUAUAGUCUUGUAACUAUUUUGAUAGCUAGAUUAUCAUUUACAUGAACAGAAAAGGUUGAGGAUUUUUGCCAAUAUACGUAAAAUGAAACUUUUAAGCUGAUGAAAUCUUCAGUUCCCAUGAUCAAUAUUUUUGUUCUUUGAUUGACAGAUUCACAAAAAGAACACAAUAAUAUCAAUAUUGUCUAUUUAUGCAAUAUGUUUUUGUUAAAAAAUUUUUUUAUUGAAUUUACAAAGGCUAUGGACUUCAUUCAGCAAAAGAUGAUAAUCUGGCUAUUGCUACAAACUAUAUAUCAAAUUCAUACCAUUGUAGUGAAAUAAUGUGAGAUUACUUGUACAUUACCAGUUGGAAGCUUGUAAAUAUUGCAACAUCAACAUACAUUAUGUAAAUAUUCCCAUGAUGCUAAUGGCAUCUACUUAACAUUUCUAUCAUAGUUUCAUUCUGAAUCAAGAAUGUAUUUUAAGAAAGCAUUAAAACAGCUGAUUAUUUUAUGUUACAUUAUGACUAUGUAAAGUUUUGGUUGUGAACAUAACAAAAGAUAUCAUUAUUUUAUAAACCUGCCAUUUUUGUUUUAGUAUUUUUAUGUUAAAAUGAAGAUCUGUUAAAAAAAGAUCAUGAAUAAAAUGAAUAGGUUUACUUGAAACUUACAUUUGUCUCUCUUUACUUGAAGCAAAAAAAAAGCAGUUUUAAUUUGUCUUAAUUUGUUCUAUAUUUUUUGUCAAUACCUGAAUCUCUACUGAUUUUGUAAUACUUCUAUUUGUUAUUGUUUUGUUGAAAGAUUUAUUUACUUGUAGGCAUGAAAAUGUUGAGAACUCUGUAAAUAAUGUAAAUAUGUCUAUACUGAAUAGUUGUCUGGAUCUGUAUUUAGUUCUGUAUAUAUGUUGAGUUAUAAGUGCUUAUAUUGACUAUUAAUAGUUCUGAUGUUAGAAUGGUAGCUGAAAUUUUUAUGUGCCAUUGAAAUUCUAAACUUUUUUAAGUUGAUUCUUUAAAUGUCUCUUGCAUACACAUGUAAAAUAUACAAAUUACAUCAAUCAAAAGCAGUUUUUAUGCCACCGCAGCAUCUGCGAUGCGGUGGCAUAUAGCGAUUCACCUGUGUGUAUGUGUGUGUGUUUGUUUGUGUGUGUGUGUGUUAUAUAGAUUAUAUAGUGAACUUAAAAAAUCUUCUUGUGAAAAACCACUAGUCCAAUUUCAACCAAACUUGGCAGGAUUGAUCCUUGGGUGAAGGGAUUCCAAAGUUGUUCAAAGAAUUUCAUUCCAUGCAGAAAUCUGGUUGCCAUGGCAACCAAAAGGAAUUAAAAGAAUAAAUUUAAAAAAUCUUCUUGUAAAGACCCAAAAGGCCUAGAGCUUAGAUAUUUUGCAUAAGGCAUUGUCUGGUAGACCUCUACCAAGAUUGUUCAAAUUAUAGCCCUGGAGUCAAAAUCGGCCCCGCCCCAGGGGUCAUUGUUUUUCACUAUAUGUACAUAUAGUAAAAACUUAAAAUACCUUCUUGUAAAGACUGAAAAGGCCUAGAGCUUAGAUAUUUUGCAUAAGGCAUUGUCUGGUAGACCUCUACCAAGAUUGUUCAAAUUAUAGCCCUAGGGUCAAAAUCAGCCUGCCCCGGGGGUCAUUGAUUUUCACUAUAUGUACAUAUAGUAAAAACAUAAAAUACCUUCUUGUAAAGAACCAAAAGGCCUAGAGCUUAGAUAUUUUGCAUAAGGCAUUGUCUGAUAGACCCUUACCAAGAUUGUUCAAAUUAUAGCCCUGGGGUCAAAAUCAGCCCGCCCUGGGGGUCAUUGAUUUUCACUAUAUGUACAUAUAGUAAAAACUCAAAAUACCUUCUUGUAAAGACCGAAAAGGCCUAGAGCUUAGAUAUUUUGCAUAAGGCAUUGUCUGGUAGACCCUUACCAAGAUUGUUCAAAUUAUAGCCCUGGGGUUAAAAUCAGCCACGCCCCGGGGGUCAUUGAUUUUCACUAUAUGUACAUAUAGUAAAAACUCAAAAUACCUUCUUGUAAAGACCCAAAAGGCCUAGAGCUUAGAUAUUUUGCAUAAGGCAUUGUCUGGUAGACCUCUACCAAGAUUGUUCAAAUUAUAGCCCUGGGGUCAAAAUCGGUCCCGCCCGGGGGUCAUUGGUUUGCCUUAUAUGUAUAUAGUAAAAACUUAAAGUAAAAACUUUAAAAAAAAAAAUUUCUAGCAAUUGACAAAUGCUAGAGGUUAGAUAUUUUGCAUGAAACAUUGUGAAGUGAACUUCUAGUAAGAUUGUUCAAAUUAUAGCCCUGGGGUCAAAAUUGCCCCCACCCCGGGGGUCAUUGAUUUUCAAUAUAUAUAUAUAGUAAAAAAUCUUAUUGUCUGAAGGUACAAGGCUUAGAGCUUUAAUAUUUGUUAAAUGAUAUCAUCUAUAGGAACUCUACCAAAGUUGUUCAAAUUUUGCCUCUAGUGUCAAAAUAAGCCCCAGCCCCGCCCCGCGCCAUAGGUUAGCCUUAUAUGUAUAUAGUAAAAACUUAAAAAAUCAUCUUCUUUAAAUUUACAAAGACUAGAGUUAAGAUAUUUUGCAUGAAACAUUAUGUAGUGAACCUCUAGCAAGAUUGUACAAAUUAUAGCCCUGGGGUCAAAAUUGGCCCCACCCCCAGGGGUCAUUGAUAUUCACUAUGUACAUAUAGUAAAAAAUUACAAAAUCCUCUUGUCUGACGGUACAAGGCUUAGAGCUUUGAUAUUUGAUAUAUAAUAUCAUCUAUGGGUCCUCUACUAAAGUUGUUUUAAUUAUGCCCCUAGUGUUAAAAUUAUCUUGCCCAGGAGGCGAUAUUUUUCCUUAUAUGUAUAAAGUAAAAACUUGAAAAAUCUUCUUCUCUGAAUUGAAAAAUCUUCUUCUCUGAAUUGACAAAGGCUAGAGGCUAAAUAUAUGGCAUGAGACUGCGAAGUGAACCUUUACCAAGAUUGUUCAAAUUAUAGCCCUGGGGUUAAAAUUGGUUCUGCCCAGGGGGUCAUUGAUUUUCAUUAUAUACAUAUAGUAAAAAAAAUAAAAAAAUAUUUUUGUCUGAAGGUACAAGGCAUAGAGCUUUGAUGUUUGCUAUAUAAUAUCAUCUAUAGGUCCUCUACUAAAGUUGUUCAAAUUUUUCCCCUGGUGUCAAAAUUGGCCCUGCCCGGGGGCAGUAUUUCUCAUUAUGUACACAUAGUAAAAACAGAAAAUAAAACAAAUGUUUUCUGAAUGGGAGAAAGCUACAGCUUAGAUAUUUGACUUAAAAUGUUGUUUGGUGGACCUGUAUCAAGAUUGUUUUGAAUUAAACCCUUGGGUCCAAAAUUUUGCCUUGCCCAAGGGGACAGUGACCUACUUUCUUGUCCUUUGAUGUACACCAAUGAAAUUUUGACCAUGUGCACAGUUUUAGUUGUAAAAUUGAACUUUGAUAUCAGGUGACCUAGAUUUUGAUGAUGUGACCUACUUUCUUGUCCUUUAAUGUACAGCUAUGAAAUUUGAACCAUGUGCACAGAUUAAGAUGUAAAGUGAACUUUGAUUUCAGCUGACCUAGAUUUUGACAAAGUGUCUUACUGUGUUGUCCUUUUGAUGUAGUCAUGAAAUUUAGGCUGUGUGAAAUAUGACCUUCACCACCAAAUUCACUAGACUCAAGUGCAUUGAUAUAUUCCUACUCUGAUCUUUUAUUGAGUUAACAACAGAUUUAACCACUAAUCUGAUAAUAAGUAUAAGAUAGGUCAGGGAUCUAUGCUUUAUGACAAUCUUCAAAAUUGUAUAGAAACAAAAAAAUAUCUGUUCCUACACUACUAUUUAGUGUUGUAUUAAUGCGGUGGCAUAGCAUUUUUCUCAAAUGCAAUCUUGUUUGUAUACUCAUAUUAUUAGGUAAAAUAUAGCUCUGUAUUUUAAUAUCUUUCCUAAGUAUAACAUACACAAAAGAGCAAGAAAUGAAAAUUGUCUCUACAUUUAUACCCAGUGAUCUGAUUUACAAUAUAUCUUACAUUUUUUCUUGAUCAUUAGUGCUGAAGAAGAAAUCCUUACUUAUUUUGUACAUUCUUUGUUAAAACAUAAACAUGCAGAAUUUUCUAUGGGACGAAAUAAUUGCAGUUGCAAAGUAUUUAUUGUGUAAAUGUGUUGAAUAUAUGUACUUGUUUGUUUAGUAUAAAGUCUAGUGCUAUGAUUUGUAUUUCGUAUAUUAUGUGUCAAAUUUAUGAAAAUGCAUUUUUCAAAUUAAAAAGAUAAAAUGAAGAACAAUUAAA